ACGUAGGGGGCAAGCGUUAUCCGGAAUUAUUGGGCGUAAAGAGUGCGUAGGUGGUUUUGUAAGCGCGGGGUGAAAGGCUAUGGCUCAACCAUAGUAAGCCUUGCGAACUGUAAGACUUGAGUGCAGGAGAGGAAAGUGGAAUUCCUAGUGUAGCGGUGAAAUGCUUAGAUAUUAGGAGGAACACCAGUGGCGAAGGCGACUUUCUGGACUGUAACUGACACUGAGGCACGAAAGCGAGGGGAGCGAACAG
RNAcentral lists this ribosomal RNA (250 nucleotides) under uncultured prokaryote. Its description in RNAcentral is "partial 16S rRNA". It matches the Rfam family "Bacterial small subunit ribosomal RNA", at positions 525 to 775 of the family's 1533-position model. The record is from RNAcentral.